Molecule: non-coding RNA, 171 nt
Organism: Triticum aestivum (bread wheat)
Lineage: Eukaryota; Viridiplantae; Streptophyta; Magnoliopsida; Poales; Poaceae
Source: Rfam
UUGCACCUCUGCUUUACCCUGCCCUGUUUUCUGAUCGUGUUUGUGGGGCAUUUGUAUUGGUGCAAAAAGUAAAUGCUGUUCUUUGAAGCAGCAGCAGCCAGACAACCGUAGAGAUAGAUCCACAGAUGAAUGGCUGAUUUGCUGCUUGUCUACUAGUUCUAUCUCAUAUUU